AUGAACGCUGGCGGCGUGCCUAAUACAUGCAAGUCGAGCGAACAGACGAGGAGCUUGCUCCUCUGACGUUAGCGGCGGACGGGUGAGUAACACGUGGAUAACCUACCUAUAAGACUGGGAUAACUUCGGGAAACCGGAGCUAAUACCGGAUAAUAUAUUGAACCGCAUGGUUCAAUAGUGAAAGACGGUUUUGCUGUCACUUAUAGAUGGAUCCGCGCCGCAUUAGCUAGUUGGUAAGGUAACGGCUUACCAAGGCAGCGAUGCGUAGCCGACCUGAGAGGGUGAUCGGCCACACUGGAACUGAGACACGGUCCAGACUCCUACGGGAGGCAGCAGUAGGGAAUCUUCCGCAAUGGGCGAAAGCCUGACGGAGCAACGCCGCGUGAGUGAUGAAGGUCUUCGGAUCGUAAAACUCUGUUAUUAGGGAAGAACAAAUGUGUAAGUAACUAUGCACGUCUUGACGGUACCUAAUCAGAAAGCCACGGCUAACUACGUG
Molecule: ribosomal RNA, 496 nt
Filed under: uncultured bacterium
Lineage: Bacteria
Description: partial 16S ribosomal RNA
Rfam family: Bacterial small subunit ribosomal RNA
Source: RNAcentral